Molecule: ribosomal RNA, 247 nt
Filed under: uncultured bacterium
Lineage: Bacteria
Description: partial 16S ribosomal RNA
Rfam family: Bacterial small subunit ribosomal RNA
Source: RNAcentral
UUCUGGCGACCGGCGCACGGGUGAGUAACACGUAUCCAACCUGCCCUUUACUCGGGGAUAGCCUUUCGAAAGAAAGAUUAAUACCCGAUAGCAUAAUGAUUCCGCAUGGUUUCAUUAUUAAAGGAUUCCGGUAAAGGAUGGGGAUGCGUUCCAUUAGGUUGUUGGUGAGGUAACGGCUCACCAAGCCUUCGAUGGAUAGGGGUUCUGAGAGGAAGGUCCCCCACAUUGGAACUGAGACACAGUCCAA